UUCUCUCUCUUCUUCACAUCAGAGAACAUUAUUCCCUCUUCUUCCUCUAUCCGAAAACCCUAAUGCCGCCACCCUCUUUUCGAGCAAUACCAUAUCCAACUGAAAAAAAGCCAUAUUCUUAAUCCUUACCUCACAGUCUUUCUCAUGAACCAAUUGAUUUAUUGUUUCGACUAAUCUCGCCGCUGAACCACCUUCUUCCUCUCCCUCUAGCCAUCGCGAAAACAAGUGUAGAAAGCAGGAAUGUUUAGAUCUCUCCUUCUUUUGGACAAAACUGGACCAUUUGGAGUUGUCACCGCCGCGCCGGCAGUUGUCACCACCGUACCGAAUUUCCUCACGUCACUGCGAGCUUCAUCUCCUCAAUGGUAAGGGUCCCUCUUUGUUAUCAUUUUGGGUUGUGACUGUUGUUAAAUAACCCUUUGUUCAAAAAUCUAAAUUUGUGAUUUGUUGACAAAGGCUGUUACAAAAAUUUACUCACCUUAUAUUUGCUUUUAUAUUGAAUAGGAAAUUCACAAACUUUAGAUUUUGUGUUGAAACCCUAAUUCCUCUUUUCUCUAAAUUUGAUUUGAAUCUCUGUUUGGUUUGAAAUUCCUAUUAACUAACUUACUGUUUUGCAAACCCAAUUUUGGAUUGAAAAUCUUACUCUAUGUUUUUUCCCAAAUCCAAAAUGUAUGCUUUGUAUUGAUAACAUCUUGUUUAUAAAACUGUUUUUCUGUCAAAUCUGCUGGCCUAUCUGAUCAUACUAGUGCUAGCAACCAUUAUCUUUCACAAAUGAUGCAAAAUUUGCAUAAUGUAAAUGGUAUUGUUCACGAAGACACCAGGGUUGAAGGGGAUAAUCAAGAAGAUCAAUUCAUUGUUGAUGGAUGAUGUUUCUGCCAAUUUUGUAUUUCUUUGCCGAGGUAUCCACAAACAUUUCUGCCACCAGAAGUGGCGUAAAGUGCACAUAUUGUUCGACUUCAAUGCAUUCAUUAUUGUACUCUCUUCAAAUAGGUAUUGUUGUAUACUAUGUCCAGUUUAUAUUAGUGUAACUAGUCUUCUAUAUACAUGUUAUUUAACUGCUUCCAUUCAAGCUCACAGUAAUUCAAUGCACCUAAACCAUUAUGUGCUUCCAUUCUUCUCAAAAUUAUGUCUAAUCUAGGAGCCCACUGAACCAUAUUGUAAGGUCUUUGCCUGUAGAAGAGCAGCCAAGUAUGUUUUGUUAAACUGUUGUCAUUUUGGAAGAAGUGUGUAAUUUGUUAAACUGGCAUAGUGAAGCUAUUUGACAGCAUCGAGAAAUAUGGUCGGAUAGGGAAUUUCUUCAUCAAAUUCUACUGCGAACACCAUUUAGGGUGCACGAGCCGGUGCUAGGCAUCUGGAAGUCACCAUUAAUGGGAUUGGUGAAAGAGCUGGAAAUGCCUCCUUGGAAGAGGUUCAUAACUUUGAUGCAACUUUGAUACAAUGGAUUUGUUAGAUAAAAGUAAGGGAGUACCAAUGGAGAGUACACAAUAUUUGCUGAUGUUGAUGUUCCUGCUCUGUUUGAAUCCUCUCUAUCACUGAAGCAUUGUUUUUUUCUCCAUUCCAAAUGAAGGGAUUGAAAACUAUUGGUGACUUAGUGCUAUCUACAUUUACAUUUUGUACAACAUUGAGUCUUAAAGAACUAGUGACUACAAACUGUAAAUUUCUCAUUAUUUGAAUCAGAAAAUCUAUAUUCUCGUCGUUUUUUUUCUUAGGACAAACUAGUGGUUUGAACUAUAUCCCGAGUUCCUUUCGAAUCCUUUCUUCAUUGCUGGAGAGUCAUAUGCCGGAGUUUAUGUGCCUAUUAUUGCCUAUGAAGUAGUUAAAGGAUCCAAAAUGUUCUUUCCACGAAUUUGCCAGCCAUUUCUGGACCGGCUGCUGUUAUAGUAGUAGCUAAUUCAAUAAGAAGGAUCUGAUAAUUAGUUCUGGAAUCUGGGUUACCAAGUUGUGGACUUUGGACAAGUAAAAUUUUUGGGCUCUAAUGAGCAACUCUGGACACAAAACGAACUCUGAACCAAUGAUGAAUACAACCAAUAACGAAAACAACCAAUGAUGAAUACAAGAUGUGUUUACAAGCAAAUAUACAUCUGAAAGCAUCAAGUCAAAUCGUGAAAGGAUCUUAUCCAGAAUGACUGAUUAAAGUCUGUGAAGUCUCAACGUUUUAAAGCUCUCAAGACACUAUGAUCAAGCUUCAGUAACUCAUACUGAGAAGCAUAUGACUCAAGAAGUUAACUAUGAAGAGAGAUAAUAACUCUAAAUUCUGAUUAAGCUUCACCAGUACUUAUCUGAAGCCUAUGAUAAAAAUCUUGUGCAAAAGAAGAUCAUGUGAUAACAAUACAUUAUCCUACUCACCUCCCUGAAAAUCCGAAUAAAGGACUGUACUCUGCACCAUCAUUGCUAUCACAUGUUCCAUCAUCUGUCCUAAUGCUACAAGCGCAAUUGUAGUCUAGUACUAGCUAACGUCUCAAACAGCUUUUUCAUUAUGGAUACUAAUUAUUUUAUUC
RNA transcript from Vicia villosa (hairy vetch), 2495 nucleotides. RefSeq lists it as uncharacterized. The record is from RefSeq and is a predicted model, not a curated record. The transcript has 6 exons. NCBI's taxonomy places the organism in Eukaryota, Viridiplantae, Streptophyta, Magnoliopsida, Fabales, Fabaceae.